RNAcentral lists this ribosomal RNA (704 nucleotides) under Salmonella enterica subsp. enterica serovar Muenchen. Its description in RNAcentral is "partial 23S ribosomal RNA". It matches the Rfam family "Bacterial large subunit ribosomal RNA", at positions 2164 to 2862 of the family's 2925-position model. The record is from RNAcentral. Lineage: Bacteria; Pseudomonadati; Pseudomonadota; Gammaproteobacteria; Enterobacterales; Enterobacteriaceae.
GUGGACGCCAGUCUGCAUGGAGCCGACCUUGAAAUACCACCCUUUAAUGUUUGAUGUUCUAACGUGGACCCGUUACCCGGGUUGCGGACAGUGUCUGGUGGGUAGUUUGACUGGGGCGGUCUCCUCCUAAAGAGUAACGGAGGAGCACGAAGGUUGGCUAAUCCUGGUCGGACAUCAGGAGGUUAGUGCAAUGGCAUAAGCCAGCUUGACUGCGAGCGUGACGGCGCGAGCAGGUGCGAAAGCAGGUCAUAGUGAUCCGGUGGUUCUGAAUGGAAGGGCCAUCGCUCAACGGAUAAAAGGUACUCCGGGGAUAACAGGCUGAUACCGCCCAAGAGUUCAUAUCGACGGCGGUGUUUGGCACCUCGAUGUCGGCUCAUCACAUCCUGGGGCUGAAGUAGGUCCCAAGGGUAUGGCUGUUCGCCAUUUAAAGUGGUACGCGAGCUGGGUUUAGAACGUCGUGAGACAGUUCGGUCCCUAUCUGCCGUGGGCGCUGGAGAACUGAGGGGGGCUGCUCCUAGUACGAGAGGACCGGAGUGGACGCAUCACUGGUGUUCGGGUUGUCAUGCCAAUGGCACUGCCCGGUAGCUAAAUGCGGAAGAGAUAAGUGCUGAAAGCAUCUAAGCACGAAACUUGCCCCGAGAUGAGUUCUCCCUGAGACUUUAGGUCUCCUGAAGGAACGUUGAAGACGACGACGUUGAUAGGCC